AACGGGAAACAGAUCCAGCUUCUCAACUCUCUUCUCCAGCUCGUACUCGGCCGACGCCGCCAUUGGGUCCACAUCAUCGUUACGUCGAUCAUAGUCUUCAUUACAGCUUCAACGUGCGCCCUCCCAGAUACAGUCAUGAAGUCAGAGACUUUCCAUGGUGACAGAAAUGUCAACAAAGCAAAACACAUACACAAAAAGAACAACACGACGACAAAUGAUGUAUGUCCACUAUAGCAAGAUAACAAAUAUGAAAAUAUUUAUAUAGAAUAUCCUAACCCUAACUUGUCAUGACAAGUAUUGUCAAUAAGGCCCGACCAUUUACCAGAUUAACCGUUUGAUUAACAUCAUUUAAAACAAUGUACUGUAUGUGUAUAGUAUUAUGAAUCAAAUAAUUUGGUGGGGUAGCUUUAGAAUUUGAACACUUUUUAGAUCUUGUGUGGACACACACGUCUGUGUGUGUUCUUCGAUUAAAAACAAACACACCCAGCCACAUUCCAACUGCUUUUCUCACACUCACAGGGGUAACUUUGUUCACUAUUCAGCGCACGUAAACACAAGCGUGAGGCGACGAGCAGGAAAGCUUUACGCUUUCAGGGGAAUGGCGCAGCCGCCUAUUUUCUGCCCCAUUGUGAUUUUAGCUUGUGCUAAUCGCUCAAAGGCAAAUAACACUUUGCUUUUUUUUUUGGGCCAGAAAGGAAAAUGUGUGAUGUUUUGGAUUGGUAAAUUUGGAAGUAUAAUUUAACGCCUUUUAAUAACACUGGCAAAAGAACAAGUGCCGAGAGGCUAAAACUUAUUAAUAGAUGAACUUUGAAUGCUUCACUCAUAGAGGAAAAUAAAGUGAAUAAGCCAAAACCUGCAUCAUUGUCAUCGAAUACUUUGUCAUAUUUUCAAUUUAAAAAAAAAAAAAAAGAAUGAUUGAGCCGAGCAAGUGGGUGUUUUUUAAUUACUGCAGCAACAAUGCUAAUUAAUUUAGCCUCUCUAUGGUGGUUCCCAUUAUAUGUUAGCAUUAAGAUAGCAGAAUUCCGUUCCCUUAGAUAUUUUAUAAAUAUAAAUAAACAAUGUUUAAAUCUCUUAUGUCAGUAUUAUAAUAAACGUAUUUGAAGAACUGUGAAAGUUAGAGAAUUUGUUUCGACAAAGACCAUGCAAGAAGCUGCGAGCAAAGGAAAUGGAAACCUCCAUUCUUAUUUUUCUUUAGAUGUGAUAUACCUGCGACUCAUUUGACUUACUUAGGCAUGCUCAAUUAGCAAUACAAUUGUUAUCUGCACAAAUACUGUAUACAGUCUGAAAAAAGGAGAUGGUGAGGGAAAAAAAAAAGCUCAAAAGGACAACCACAUAAUAACAUGUCUCCCAACCUGUCAUUAUAUUAUCAUAGCAGCCAUAUUGUCUGUUCCACUUACAUAUGUCCCUGCAGCUUUCGGCCGCCUACAUUGUAACCGCAGCUUCCUCGAGAUGCAAAGAUGCAGUCAAGUGGUCACUGGUUAGAAGUUUCUACGUCUAACAAAUAAAAAUAAUACCUUCUUGACAUCAUUUAAAAGCACAUGCGUCACUUUUUUCCCUUUGAUCGUCAACCUCCUGAAAUGGGAUGAAUGAGGACAUGCAUGGCGCAGCAACUGCUAGUGAUCCAUCAAAACAUUUUGCACUCUAUAGACAUUUUCAAGGAGGAAGUAUAACGUCUCGGUUCAAAACUCACCUUAAUGGGCUCAGUGCUGAAUCGUAUCUUUCUGUUGGCUGCGAUGGGUUCCUCCUCCUCCUCAGGAAGACCCUCGAUUUCCGUGCAGCUGCUUUCUGGAUGGUACUCUUCCUCGUCUUCGUCAUCAUCAUCAUCAUCGUCCAGCUGGCUUCCCCCAGAGUCAUCCUCGCCGAGGCCGCUGUACGCGCUCACGUCCACCAGAUCCCCCUCGGAGUAAUCCUCCUUCCUCGAGCCGUCGUCGUCGUCGUUCUCCUCCUCGGCUUGUGUGACUUGAAAAGUCGGUGGCUCUUUUUCUCCAUUUUCCAGUGAAGCGUGGACAUCGGCUUGAACCAAUCUGGCCCCGGCAUCGAUAUCCCCUCGACAACAAUCCUGUUCGGCGGCGGUUAGAGGCUCCUGACCAGCUAAGGUACUAGAGUCUUCUGUCAAUUCCAACUGAGACUCCAACUCUGGUUUAGCCUCCGCUGAAAUGUCAUCAGAGUUGGAGUGCUGAUCUCCUGAAUGUCUAAAUCUCUCCUCCUCGCUGAUGUUGCACUGCGGGAGCGAAUCUGUCUCGUCAACCUCUGCCGCCUGGUUGCUGACAGUUCCUGUUGUCACCUCCUCUAAGUCCUCCUGACUUGCAGGAGGCGCUUUCAUCUGAGACAGAGAGACAAAUGAUCUAAUCAUUUCACAUUGUGCUUGACACCAUAUCAAAAGAUGUCAACACGCUAACCCAGGCUGCGGAGGAACGACAAGAGUGAAAGUAAUUGUAAAUCCUGAAGCGCAGUUGGCUUUAAAGUCAGCACUUGAAAACAAAUCUUCUUACCUGACUCCGAGCAGGCCCUGAUUUGGCUGGAAUUGUUGGCUUUGGUCCUGGGGCAGGUCUCGACCGACGGUUGGGGAGGUAGAGAUUGUUUUGGGUAUCAGCCUUCUCAAACACAGCACUGAGUUGGCUGACGGUGGGGCUGACGGCUUCAGCGGGCCCCGAAACAGCUGCAGCGGCAGGAACGGGAACGGGAGCAGAAGCGGGAAUGGGGGGGUCGUCUAAGCGAUCCAAAGCCUCAGUCGAGCCAUUGAAGCGUGCCACCACAUCCAGGCGGCUAUCCUGGAAACCAGAAGCUCGCUCCUUCUUCAGUAAAAUCCUGUUGGUAGCAGCUUGUUUCUCCUAAAGGAAACCAAAUCAUUUCAUGUUCAUCUUAUUUCAUUUGAUCCUGUUCAUGGCACACAUUGGUGCAGUUAGCUGGCGGUUUGCGCCAUUGUGGGCGUGAACACAGUCAACUUGGUUGACAGCCAAUCAAAGGGGCGUGUCUCACAUGUUAAAUAGCGCCAUUUCUGACCUGCAGCGUCCGUUGUUCAAACAUCCUCCUGGUUUCCUGGAGUUUGGACAAUCCUGAGGAGGAGCGCGCACCUUCUCCAUCCGUUUUGGUGUCAAAACGAUUGACCCUCUCCGAAACGGUGCCCCCGAGUUUGAGCAGCGCGCUGUGGUCGACGUUCUCGUUGAGGCUCGAUGCCCUUGGCAGCGACAGUUUGACCGCUUGCUCGUUUCCUGCCGAUGACAAGACUGUGAAAGCUUGUUCGGCUAAAAAAAAUAUAUGUAUUGUUGUUAUCAUUUACCAAUCACUUUGGCACCAUCUUCCUCAUCUCCUGGCGACUGCAUCUGCAUGAACAUAUUCUUGAUGCGGUGGACAUUUGAUCCAUAUCUACGACCCCUCCCGUUGGGCCGAGGUAAAGGCGCGGGCUUGGAGGCGGGGUCGUAGCCUCCAUUGAGGUGAUCCGUAGCUUUCUUUAGCGCCGCCAGACCUGCCUCGUAUGCAUUUCGAUGAGGUGAGGCGCUCCUCAUGUUGGAGCCCCCCCCACUGUUUCCGGCGGAGGCCCCGUUGUCCGCCUUGUCUGAGGCAGGUUCUGUCUUCAUCAUGUUUGAGAAUUAAAUGUCCCCCAGUGAACAGCAGGUUAAUGGGGAUGACGGUGGCAGCAUGUCUGUAGAACAUGAGCUGUGAGACAAGAGCAGAAGAUAUACUUGAAAUUAAGCUGCUAGUUGAUAGCUAUUCCAUAAAUGUGUGUUAUCAUCAUUAUAUUAUUGCAGAUUUCAUUGUUAUAUUUUCAAUGGCUUUGGUUUUUAUGAUCAGGAUUUUCUUCCUGGAUGGUCCCAUUACAGUUUUUGUACACAAUUAAAACUAACUGAGUAUUUUGAUUGUUCAUAAGAAUGCAAAUUGCUGCUCAAUGUUAUCCCUUUAAAUUUUGCCGACUAACUCAGAAAUGAUGUCAACCAAAUCGUGAACAAAUCCUACCGCUGUCAAAAGUAAUAAAUUGAUGAUGUCAUCGAAACAUCAAAGCAAAUAAAGGCUUUAUUUAAAAGUGUGUAACAUAGGAUUAGGUGAAAAACAACAUUGGGUGAAAAGAAUAGAAGAGGUAUCCUCUAAACAUUUGAAUUUUUUUAGGUUUGAUUGUACAGCUAAAAUCAGCAAGCAUUCAUACAGUGAAAAAAAAACUUCAGUAGUUGUGUUUCCAAUUGGUUGAGCUAUAAAAAAAUCCAUAUGGCAACAGACUAUCAUUCAAAAUUAAGGGUUUAAUUGAUGUAAAAACCAUGAAAGAUUAUUUCCAAUAAGACUGACAGGCAAUACCACAACAAAAGCCGAAAUGAUUAAAAUUCAGUGAUUAAAUACAGCAAAUACUUGGGUCAUAAACGACAUAAAACAUGGGAUCAUAUGUUUUCCCCACAGUAGUAAUUAUCUUUAUUUUUACCCUAACUGAGUCAUUUUCUACAUCUGGAGAACAUUCCCUUUAAAGGAGACAUUGUGAUUUUUGCCCCCAAUUUAAACGACUUCCCAGUUGUCUUGACAGGCUUUUGGGCACAUCAAAAAAAAAGUUACACUCCAUUAUUUGGAAUCCUGGAACUUAUUCUGAUUCGAGAGGGUGAUCCUGUUUCAUGAAAAUAAGCAUGAAGCCCCAAGUAGUAGGCUACUGCUUUCAUUCCCAUGACAACCAGGAGAAGAGCUCAGGAAUUUAAAGAGGCGGAGUUACUUCCACUUUCAGAUGAGCGUGCAAAACAAAACAAAAAAAAGGGUGCACCUAUGAGGACAAUAAAAAGAGCGCACUUGAUUGUCUACAUCUAGUUCUUCCGUCCAUUUUCUGUACUGCUUGUCCUUAUUAGGGUCACGGGUCAGCUGGAGCCAAGCCCAGCUGACUGUGCAAGAAGUGUGGUACAAUCUGGACGGGUUGCCAGCUAAUCGCUACACGUCAGACACUUGCGUGUGGUCCAUGCAUUGUCAAAUAUGCAUCGUAAAAUAUGCCCCAACCUCACAGAAGCUAAUGCUGAUAGCUAGCGCUAAACAUUACGCAAUCCACAGCGGCUAGCUUAGAGACAUUUUCCGAAAAAGGCACACUGAAUUCGUCCUUUAUUAUGCCAAGGAUUGUGAAAAAGUUGAUAGAAAAGCGAUACGGAUAUUUCCAGUGUCUUAACAUCUGGGGAAAUAAAUAUGCAAAAUCCGAUAUUUAAAACUUGCCACAGUCAAGAGAGUCAAGGCCAAAGUGAAGAAAUGUGCGCCAUUGUUUGCAGCAAGCUGAUAUUAGAUAAGGAAACAAAAAUCACUUUGAAAGUGAUCUGACAAAAUUCAAACUCAUGGAGGCUUACAACCUGGAGGCUAGAAAUAUUCCCACAAACACGUUGCAAUCAAAGCACAUCUUGUGAUCAUGUCUUGGCAAAACAGUAGCUUCUCAUACAGGGAUCAUGUGAACUUUACUGGGCCAAUGUGGAACAGCCGCACACACAGGAAAGAGCUGGCGUCAGCCAAGACGAGAUUUUCUGCGUCAUUCAUCAGUCCAAGAACAACCGCUUUUUACUUUGAGCUCACUUUCUGUCGACAUCAAGACAGAACCGUCCAGUAUAGUUCACGUAUUUGUCGCGCUAUUAAGAAUACAAAUAUGGACCAAUGAUUCAUCUACAUGUCAUUCUAUUACACAAUUUUGUACUGAAAGUGCCAGUCCACUUCUCCAUAAUAAUUUCAAUCUAUCAUGAGUGAAUUCCCCACACCGUUCAAAAAACAAAACUUUAAAGUUGGAUUCCUCUGCACCCCAAAAAAAUUAGAAUUGACACGAAUAUUAAAUGGAAUUAAUUUUUGGUCAUUUUGUUUGGGUUUUCAUAGUAAUGAAUUUUUAUUUAUUUUGACCGAUAAACUAACGUUUUUACUUCAGCAAUGUUUUUUUAUUUAUUAAUUUGACUAAAAGCAAAACAUGAUUAAUAAAAAUUUGAAUAAAAGGUACAUGUAUAGCAUUUUACAAUUAAUAAAGUAUAAAACACCCAAACAAUAAUAAUAAAAUCCAAAGCAUAAAGCAAACAAGGAACUAAGAUAGCUUAUCCGUUCAGUAUUGUGUUCCGCGCGCGUUGGGUAAGUACAAAAUAGUGUUGGCUCGUGAGUGAACGAUUCGAUCAAAGGAAGGACUUUCUUCAGUGAACGGGAGUGAACGAAUCACUUCCUAAAGUGAUUCGUUCUUUUUUUCAGUUCAUAUGACUUCAACC
Syngnathus acus (greater pipefish) is the source of this 6182-nucleotide long non-coding RNA. RefSeq lists it as uncharacterized. Lineage: Eukaryota; Metazoa; Chordata; Actinopteri; Syngnathiformes; Syngnathidae. The record is from RefSeq and is a predicted model, not a curated record. The transcript has 3 exons.